UACGAAGGGGGCUAGCGUUGUUCGGAAUCACUGGGCGUAAAGGGCGCGUAGGCGGCUUUUCAAGUCGGGGGUGGAAGCCUGUGGCUCAACCACAGAAUUGCCUUCGAUACUGUUAGGCUUGAGACCGGAAGAGGUGAGUGGAACUGCGAGUGUAGAGGUGAAAUUCGUAGAUAUUCGCAAGAACACCAGUGGCGAAGGCGGCUCACUGGUCCGGUUCUGACGCUGAGGCGCGAAAGCGUGGGGAGCAAACAGG
This 253-nucleotide ribosomal RNA is filed under the name uncultured bacterium. Its description in RNAcentral is "partial 16S ribosomal RNA". It matches the Rfam family "Bacterial small subunit ribosomal RNA", at positions 524 to 776 of the family's 1533-position model. The record is from RNAcentral.